This is a long non-coding RNA of Hordeum vulgare subsp. vulgare (domesticated barley), 1059 nucleotides long. RefSeq lists it as uncharacterized. The record is from RefSeq and is a predicted model, not a curated record. The transcript has 2 exons. Lineage: Eukaryota; Viridiplantae; Streptophyta; Magnoliopsida; Poales; Poaceae.
UUUUUUUUGUUGCGCGGUUCAGAUGAGGUGGAUAGACAGUGCAGAAGUGUUAUUAGAAUAAUGUGAGUAUUAGUAGAAUAAGGGUCUUAAAGGGGUAUUUGUAGAAUAAAUCCACCCUAUACACACACAUUACACUAUUCUGAUUCUAGGAUCAGAAUAGUUAUUCCGAAACUAUCAGCCCUAUAUAGAGCGGGAGGGAGGUGUUUGUGAACCCACCGCACCUAUUUCACCUUCAUUUCCAAAUCAACUCCCGUCGUAGCCAUUCAUCCCCAACAUGCCCCCCACAGUCGGACCUCCAUCGACAACCAUAGCCAACGAGCACACCUCCCUCGCACGGCUGCCCGCGACCAGGAUUGCCCCAUCUCCUGGCAAACCUCACCACCAUGCCUCGGUGGAGCUCCACUGGUUGUCGCUUUUGCCCCAACUAGGGAUCCAGUGAGUACCUAAGGGUCACCGCAUCUGACGAGGAUCUCAUCGCCGCCCUGACCUUCUCCGACCAACAAUGCAUCAGGCCCUGACCUUCACCAACAACCCACCUGCUUGCUCGGAUCGUUGUCGCACCCCAUAGGCAGAGUUCCCGCCUCCAACAAGCUCUUGCCAGCGGAUCUUUCCCCCGCCACUGUGUUGCCUAAUUUUGGUGGGGAUCCGCUCCAACGGAGUCCCGGCCGUUCACCGACGACACCGCAGGCCGUUCACCUUGGUCGGCCGCCACACGCAUGGAGCGCACCGACGCUCGCGAUGCACCUCAGCUUUGAAUCCUGAGUGCACUGCCGUUGGCUUACCAGAAUGCGGCUAUCCCGUAGAUACUUGCAAUGCUGCCCAAGAACGCAAGCCUGAAGGAGUUAAAGUCACAAAGAAAAACAAAUCUGUAUGAAUAUUGAGUUAACCGACGAAAAAGGAGCAACACACGACGACUCUCUGUUCUACUCCAUCAGGAGCUGAAUGACAAGCCAUGCAUGUUACGGGAACAACUAGAUUUUUCACGUACGGUUGUUUUAGUUUCUGCAUUUCUACUGUUGUUGAUGGAGAAGAAGAACGACGAUGGCAUUUUUCUCCGAA